AUUGAACGCUGGCGGCAGGCCUAACACAUGCAAGUCGAGCGGAUGAAGGGAGCUUGCUCCUGGAUUCAGCGGCGGACGGGUGAGUAAUGCCUAGGAAUCUGCCUGGUAGUGGGGGAUAACGUCCGGAAACGGGCGCUAAUACCGCAUACGUCCUGAGGGAGAAAGUGGGGGAUCUUCGGACCUCACGCUAUCAGAUGAGCCUAGGUCGGAUUAGCUAGUUGGUGGGGUAAAGGCCUACCAAGGCGACGAUCCGUAACUGGUCUGAGAGGAUGAUCAGUCACCCUGAAACUGAGACCCGGUCCAGACCCCAAGGGGGGGCACGAGUGGGAAAUUUUGGCAAAGGGGCGAAACCCUAACCCGGCCAGGCGGGGGGGGGAAAGAAGGUCUGCGAUUUUUAAACCCUUUUAAGUUGGGAGGAAGGGCGGUAAGUUAAUCCCUUGCUUUUUUACCGUUACCAACAAAAAAAGCACCGCCUACCUCCGU
This 483-nucleotide ribosomal RNA is filed under the name uncultured bacterium. Its description in RNAcentral is "partial 16S ribosomal RNA". It matches the Rfam family "Bacterial small subunit ribosomal RNA", at positions 30 to 506 of the family's 1533-position model. The record is from RNAcentral.